AAGCGAUUGUUUCACUCGUUGGUGUCACCGACAAGUUUUUUUUUCUUUUUCCCGAAAUACAUCGGCGAUGAGAGCUGUGGUGUGCUUGUCCUUGAUUGGUGUCGUUGCGCUGCCACAUGCAUGCCUGCUUGAUGGUUAAGGAAAUGAAAACCACCCCCAUGUUUUAUACGGAGUGCCAUCUUCACUCGAGUAGUGUGUGGUUCUUGUCCGUUUACCAUAUAUAUACUAUGCCAAAGCAUUCAGGAUUCAAAUUGAGGACCAUCUAAUUCUUUCUUUUUUUUAACUACUAUAUAUAACUAACCAGGUCAAAGCCAAUAAUAAUCUGCAAACAGCCCGCUUCCAUUAUUAUUAUCCCAUGUAUGAGAUGAUCACUAGGAGUAUCUCUCUAAUUCAUUCAGAUUUGUGUCAAUCAACAACCAAAAUUGGCUUGGACCGCUUGACGCCAGUGACGGACCCAGUAUAGAGUCAUUGCUGUCACCGGACAGCAGUGCCUGUCAUUAGGGCCGUGUACCCCUUUCUCAUUUUAUAUUGAUGACAGCAGCUCAGCUCACCACGUGACCUCAGUAUUCUUCUGGAGUCCAGACUCUAGAGGCAAGAGCAAUUGAGCAUGCUUUUGUUUGGUCCACGGCCCAUUUAUCAAAUGAAUUUACAAAGCCCAAUCACGAGCUACAGGUCCAGCUAAAAGAAAAUAUCCUACGCAGGAGACGAGGAGUCCCUCCAUCUUCCUUUCCUUCAGAACGAAGACUCGCAAGACAUACAACAGCAGGCGGCUGGCGGCAGCCGGCGGGAGCACACAUCAACAUCAGAUUAAUCCAUCGAUCCAUUGGGGCCUUUUAAAUUUGUAAUCAUCUAUCAAACUUCCUUGAGAUCACAAUGGCCGGUGGUUCAGGUAGCAAAAGCAAAUUAGAGAUGAUGGUUGGAAAUCUUUA
Sorghum bicolor (sorghum) is the source of this 929-nucleotide long non-coding RNA. RefSeq lists it as uncharacterized. The record is from RefSeq and is a predicted model, not a curated record. The transcript is spliced from 2 exons. NCBI's taxonomy places the organism in Eukaryota, Viridiplantae, Streptophyta, Magnoliopsida, Poales, Poaceae.